This 468-nucleotide ribosomal RNA is filed under the name uncultured bacterium. RNAcentral describes it as "partial 16S ribosomal RNA". It matches the Rfam family "Bacterial small subunit ribosomal RNA", at positions 28 to 507 of the family's 1533-position model. The record is from RNAcentral.
GACGAACGCUGGCGGCGUGCUUAACACAUGCAAGUCGAACGGAAAGGCCCUGCUUUUGUGGGGUGCUCGAGUGGCGAACGGGUGAUUAACACGUGAGUAACCUGCCCUUGACUUUGGGAUAACUUCAGGAAACUGGGGCUAAUACCGGAUAGGCGCUCCUGCUGCAUGGUGGGGGUUGGAAAGUUUCGGCGGUUGGGGAUGGACUCGCGGCUUAUCAGCUUGUUGGUGGGGUAGUGGCUUACCAAGGCUUUGACGGGUAGCCGGCCUGAGAGGGUGACCGGCCACAUUGGGACUGAGAUACGGCCCAGACUCCUACGGGAGGCAGCAGUGGGGAAUAUUGCACAAUGGGCGGAAGCCUGAUGCAGCAACGCCGCGUGCGGGAUGACGGCCUUCGGGUUGUAAACCGCUUUCGCCUGUGACGAAGCGUGAGUGACGGUAAUGGGUAAAGAAGCACCGGCUAACUACGUG